GACCACCUGAUGCGUCAGGUCAAGGCCAUACGGACAGCCGGGUCGACUGCCGA
This 53-nucleotide small RNA is filed under the name chicken gut metagenome. RNAcentral's name for it is "Streptococcus sRNA SpF59 (ldcC RNA)". It matches the Rfam family "Streptococcus sRNA SpF59 (ldcC RNA)". The record is from RNAcentral.